UUGGUGCCUUCGGGAACUCUGAGACAGGUGCUGCAUGGCUGUCGUCAGCUCGUGUUGUGAAAUGUUGGGUUAAGUCCCGCAACGAGCGCAACCCUUAUCCUUUGUUGCCAGCGGUUCGGCCGGGAACUCAAAGGAGACUGCCAGUGAUAAACUGGAGGAAGGUGGGGAUGACGUCAAGUCAUCAUGGCCCUUACGAGUAGGGCUACACACGUGCUACAAUGGCGCAUACAAAGAGAAGCGACC
This 243-nucleotide ribosomal RNA is filed under the name Enterobacter cloacae. RNAcentral's name for it is "partial 16S ribosomal RNA". It matches the Rfam family "Bacterial small subunit ribosomal RNA", at positions 1011 to 1254 of the family's 1533-position model. The record is from RNAcentral. Lineage: Bacteria; Pseudomonadati; Pseudomonadota; Gammaproteobacteria; Enterobacterales; Enterobacteriaceae.